Molecule: RNA transcript, 2534 nt
Organism: Mirounga angustirostris (Northern elephant seal)
Lineage: Eukaryota; Metazoa; Chordata; Mammalia; Carnivora; Phocidae
Gene: TUSC3
Gene name: tumor suppressor candidate 3
Exons: 11
Source: RefSeq, a predicted model, not a curated record
UGAACCGGAUGCUCUGUCAGCUUCCUCCUCCGCGUCCCCGGCGGCCUCCGCUUCCCUGGCGAAGCCGCAGGAACCCACGAGGGCACGGGCAGGGGCUCCCGGCGGUUAGCCUGGCAGGAGUAGGACGCCGGUAGGAGCUGGGCGCGCACGGUUACCGAGCGUGGAGGAGACACUGCCCUGCGGCGAUGGGUGCCAGGGGCGCUCCUUCACGCCGGAGGCAGGCGGGGCGGCGGCUGCGAUACCUGCCCACCGGGAGCUUCCCCUUUCUCCUCCUCCUGCUACUUCUCUGCAUCCAGCUCGGGGGAGGACAGAAGAAAAAAGAGAAUCUUUUAGCUGAAAAAGUAGAACAACUGAUGGAAUGGAGUUCCAGGCGCUCAAUCUUCCGAAUGAAUGGCGAUAAAUUCCGAAAAUUUAUAAAGGCACCACCUCGAAACUAUUCUAUGAUUGUUAUGUUCACUGCUCUUCAGCCUCAGCGGCAGUGUUCUGUGUGCAGGCAAGCUAAUGAAGAAUAUCAAAUACUGGCUAACUCCUGGCGCUACUCAUCUGCCUUUUGCAACAAACUCUUCUUCAGUAUGGUGGACUAUGAUGAGGGGACAGAUGUUUUUCAACAGCUCAACAUGAAUUCUGCUCCUACGUUCAUGCAUUUUCCUCCAAAAGGCAGACCCAAAAGAGCUGAUACUUUUGACCUUCAAAGAAUUGGAUUUGCAGCUGAACAACUCGCAAAGUGGAUUGCUGACAGAACGGAUGUUCAUAUUCGAGUCUUCAGACCACCCAACUAUUCUGGCACCAUCGCUUUGGCCCUGUUAGUGUCACUUGUUGGCGGUUUGCUCUAUUUAAGAAGGAACAACUUGGAAUUUAUCUAUAACAAGACUGGUUGGGCCAUGGUAUCUCUGUGUAUAGUCUUUGCUAUGACUUCUGGCCAGAUGUGGAAUCAUAUCCGUGGACCUCCAUAUGCUCAUAAGAACCCACACAAUGGACAAGUGAGCUACAUUCACGGAAGCAGCCAAGCUCAGUUCGUGGCAGAGUCACACAUUAUUCUGGUACUAAAUGCUGCUAUCACCAUGGGGAUGGUUCUUCUAAAUGAAGCAGCAACAUCCAAGGGAGAUGUUGGAAAAAGACGGAGCAUUUUAGUACUUGUAGGAAGGAACUCUGUAAGAGAAGAAAAGCACCAGAAGACUUAGAUCGGUCACUUUUGUUGUUUUCAUACCCCAAAUAGUACAUUUUCAUUGAGAAGAAUGUGGAAAAUAAUGAAUACAUUGUAUUUUGGAUUAUCUGGUUUGUUGUGCCUGUAUGUGCCAUGAACUAUUAAAAUUAAUUUGCCUAGUGGGAUUAGGCCUGGUGGUCUUCUUCUUCAGUUUUCUACUUUCAAUAUUUCGUUCCAAAUACCACGGCUAUCCUUAUAGCUUUUUAAUUAAAUGAAGCCAAGUGGGAUUUGCAUAAAGUGAAUGUUUACCAUGAAGAUAAAGUGCUCCUGAAAUAUAGUUUGAAUUCUUGAGUUCAUUUCCAUGUUGUGAUAAUUCUAGCUUAUUCUUGUAUAAUUUUUGAAAUGUGUUUUCCUAGUGAAUUUAAUUUAUAGAAGUGGAUGGUUAAAUUUCAUAUUAGCACUGGAAAGAACAAAGGAAAUACUGAAGUGUUUUCAAGCAUAUUAUAUUCAGUAUAUGCUAUAGGACUGAAAUAAAUGACAAUGUAAUUACGAAUUCAUGUGUUAGAACUGUUCACUCAUUAGUAAAGAAAACCACAAUGUUAGUAAGGGAAAACUAUGAAAUAUAUGUUAAAGAAUCCUUAAGGUUGUACAGAGAUAAGGUAUAUGCAUGAUAUGUCACGUACUGAAAAAUUAUACUCAUUGUCAUUUCAGUAUAAAGGAUGUGUGUAUGGUUACAGAUGUUUUGUUCUUAUUAAUCACAAUUAGAUAAAGAGACAGGGAGCUGGAUGAAUAGUGCCUGCAACUUGGAAGCCUAACCUGGGAAAUGGAGGUUUUCCCAGAACAUAAAUUUUAAAGCAAACAGGACUAAAUCAAUAAGCUUGAAAGCAUCAGGUGAUAGAAGCAACACACCAAAACUAGAAAUUAAUUCCUCUCUAACUUUAGAAGAGUAACCCAGGAAUCCAGACUUGUAACUGCAAAACUAACCCACGAUGGCCAUUUCCCCCGUGUGUUAUAUGGAAAAAGUUUGCCAUCAAAACUUCAUUCCCUGAAUCCAGAUGAAAAUUAUCCUAUACAUGAAUGAAUCAGUGAAGCUUUCUCGAAAACCAAGUAUAGGAGUCUAAUCAUUAUUAUGUUUGCAUAUCCUCUUUUAGUUUAUAAAGCACUUUUGCAAAUGUUAUCUUUUUUCUUUACAACAACCCUGUAAAUUAGACGGGAAAUAUAAAUUUUGUCUGAUUUACAGAAGUAUUAGAUGCUGAAAGCCAAAAAGAAUAGAAAAAUAGAGCUUCUAACUGGGCUUUCAAACUCUGAAACCUGAAUUUUUAUUUUGUGUGGUGCUGAAGAAUAAUUUAAAAAUGCAGUCAGUUCAAUAAAGUUUUUUCCUUUUUCUUAA